This 432-nucleotide ribosomal RNA is filed under the name uncultured bacterium. Its description in RNAcentral is "partial 16S ribosomal RNA". It matches the Rfam family "Bacterial small subunit ribosomal RNA", at positions 29 to 507 of the family's 1533-position model. The record is from RNAcentral.
ACGAACGCUGGCGGCAUGCCUCACACAUGCAAGUCGAACGCGACCUUCGGGUCUAGUGGCGCACGGGUGCGUAACGCGUGGGAACCUGCCUUUAGGUUCGGAAUAACUCAGAGAAAUUUGAGCUAAUACCGGAUGAUGUCUUCGGACCAAAGAUUUAUCGCCUUUAGAUGGGCCCGCGUUGGAUUAGCUAGUUGGUGGGGUAAAGGCCUACCAAGGCGACGAUCCAUAGCUGGUCUGAGAGGAUGAUCAGCCACACUGGGACUGAGACACGGCCCAGACUCCUACGGGAGGCAGCAGUGGGGAAUAUUGGACAAUGGGCGAAAGCCUGAUCCAGCAAUGCCGCGUGAGUGAUGAAGGCCUUAGGGUUGUAAAGCUCUUUUACCCGAGAUGAUAAUGACAGUAUCGGGAGAAUAAGCUCCGGCUAACUCCGUG